This 568-nucleotide ribosomal RNA is filed under the name uncultured bacterium. RNAcentral describes it as "partial 16S ribosomal RNA". It matches the Rfam family "Bacterial small subunit ribosomal RNA", at positions 355 to 914 of the family's 1533-position model. The record is from RNAcentral.
UGGGGAAUAUUGCACAAUGGGCGCAAGCCUGAUGCAGCCAUGCCGCGUGUGUGAAGAAGGCCUUCGGGUUGUAAAGCACUUUCAGCGAGGAGGAAGGUGGUGAGCUUAAUACGCUCAUCAAUUGACGUUACUCGCAGAAGAAGCACCGGCUAACUCCGUGCCAGCAGCCGCGGUAAUACGGAGGGUGCAAGCGUUAAUCGGAAUUACUGGGCGUAAAGCGCACGCAGGCGGUUUGUUAAGUCAGAUGUGAAAUCCCCGGGCUCAACCUGGGAACUGCAUUUGAAACAGGCAAGCUAGAGUCUCGUAGAGGGGGGUAGAAUUCCAGGUGUAGCGGUGAAAUGCGUAGAGAUCUGGAGGAAUACCGGUGGCGAAGGCGGCCCCCUGGACGAAGGCUGACGCUCAGGUGCGAAAGCGUGGGGCAGCAAACAGGAUUAGAUACCCUGGUAGUCCACGCUGUAAACGAUGUCGAUUUGGAGGUUGUGCCCUUGAGGCGUGGCUUCCGGAGCUAACGCGUUAAAUCGACCGCCUGGGGAGUACGGCCGCAAGGUUAAAACUCAAAUGAAUUGAC